GCACGGGUAAGACCCGUGGCAACGGCACAGAAACGACACGUCCACCGGCGGAUGGCGAUGAAGGGGUGAAGGCCCGCGGGCAACCGUGGGCCAGCUAACCCCCCGAGGACGCUGGUGGGAGCGGUGAAACGGCCGCCCUCCGGGGAGCAAGGCGGCGCGCCGAUGAGGGCCGCGCGAGUGGCGCGCCGAAAGCCGCUUAGUCAAAUGCGGCCGAAGGUACAGAAGGCGGGUUAUAGCCGGCGUC
Molecule: RNase P RNA, 244 nt
Filed under: Pyrodictium sp.
Lineage: Archaea; Thermoproteati; Thermoproteota; Thermoprotei; Desulfurococcales; Pyrodictiaceae
Description: partial RNase P RNA component
Rfam family: Archaeal RNase P
About the family: Ribonuclease P (RNase P) is a ubiquitous endoribonuclease, found in archaea, bacteria and eukarya as well as chloroplasts and mitochondria. Its best characterised activity is the generation of mature 5'-ends of tRNAs by cleaving the 5'-leader elements of precursor-tRNAs.
Source: RNAcentral